AACUUCUGAAUGUUGACCUCGGAUCAGGUAGGAAUACCCGCUGAACUUAAGCAUAUCAAUAAGCGGAGGAAAAGAAACCAACAGGGAUUGCCCUAGUAACGGCGAGUGAAGCGGCAACAGCUCAAAUUUGAAAUCUGGCUCUCGGGCCCGAGUUGUAAUUUGUAGAGGAUGCUUUUGAUGCGGUGCCUUCCGAGUUCCCUGGAACGGGACGCCAUAGAGGGUGAGAGCCCCGUCUGGUUGGAUGCCAAAUCUCUGUAAAGCUCCUUCGACGAGUCGAGUAGUUUGGGAAUGCUGCUCUAAAUGGGAGGUAUAUGUCUUCUAAAGCUAAAUAUUGGCCAGAGACCGAUAGCGCACAAGUAGAGUGAUCGAAAGAUGAAAAGCACUUUGAAAAGAGAGUUAAAAAGUACGUGAAAUUGUUGAAAGGGAAGCGUUUAUGACCAGACUUGGGCUUGGUUAAUCAUCUGGGGUUCUCCCCAGUGCACUUUUCCAGUCCAGGCCAGCAUCAGUUUUCGCCGGGGGAUAAAGGCUUCGGGAAUGUGGCUCUCUCCGGGGAGUGUUAUAGCCCGUUGCGUAAUACCCUGGCGGGGACUGAGGUUCGCGC
RNAcentral lists this ribosomal RNA (601 nucleotides) under Fusarium sp. NRRL 52702. RNAcentral describes it as "eukaryotic LSU rRNA". It matches the Rfam family "Eukaryotic large subunit ribosomal RNA", at positions 1 to 600 of the family's 3401-position model. Lineage: Eukaryota; Fungi; Ascomycota; Sordariomycetes; Hypocreales; Nectriaceae. The record is from RNAcentral.